AAUAAACGCUGGCGGCGUGCCUAACACAUGCAAGUCGGACGAGAAAGGCUGAUUUCGGAUUAGCCGAGUAAAGUGGCGCACGGGUGAGUAACGCGUAGGUAACCUACCCUUGUAUUUGGGAUAACAGGACGAAAGUUUUGCUAAUACCGGAUACGACCUGAGGGCGGAGGUUUUCAGGUGAAAGUCGGCCUCUUCGAGAAAAGCUGACGUACAGGGAUGGGUCUGCGUCCUAUCAGCUAGUUGGUGGGGUAACGGCCUACCAAGGCGACGACGGGUAGCUGGUCUGAGAGGAUGAUCAGCCACACUGGCACUGGAACACGGGCCAGACUCCUACGGGAGGCAGCAGUGAGGAAUUUUGCGCAAUGGCCGCAAGGCUGACGCAGCAACGCCGCGUGGGUGAAGAAGGCCUUCGGGUCGUAAAGCCCUGUCAGGUGGGAAGAAAGGUUUCGUCAAGAAACGGAUGGAAUUUGACGGUACCACCAGAGGAAGCACCGGCUAACUCCGUG
RNAcentral lists this ribosomal RNA (506 nucleotides) under uncultured bacterium. RNAcentral's name for it is "bacterial SSU rRNA". It matches the Rfam family "Bacterial small subunit ribosomal RNA", at positions 29 to 507 of the family's 1533-position model. The record is from RNAcentral.